This is a long non-coding RNA of Syngnathoides biaculeatus (alligator pipefish), 660 nucleotides long. RefSeq lists it as uncharacterized. The record is from RefSeq and is a predicted model, not a curated record. NCBI's taxonomy places the organism in Eukaryota, Metazoa, Chordata, Actinopteri, Syngnathiformes, Syngnathidae. The transcript is spliced from 4 exons.
ACAAAUUGUGCUCCUUUAUCAAAGUGGCUGGCUUGCUAACAAUACCACAAUUGACAACACACAAUGUUUCAUCGCCUCCACUUGGCUACGGUGGUCCUCAGUCUCAUCUCGUAUAAAAUGUUCUCACCAAUAUCAUCGAACACCUGAACGGUGCGGCGACCUACGCGAGGAUCCUGUUUGUGGACUUCAGGUCUGCGUUCAACAGCAUCAUCCCCGAACUCCUCUCCUCCAAGCUUCUCCAGCUCAGCGUCUCGCCUGCCAUCUGCCAGUGGAUUUACAGCUUCCUGACAAGCAGGACACAGCAGCUGUGGAAGCGGCCGACACAACCUGGAGCUGAACGUGCUCGAGAGAUGAUCGUGGAUUUCAGGACACAUCCAUGGCCAGAGCUGCCCAUCACGCUGUCCCACUGCACCAUGUCAACUGUCAAGACCUCAAAGUUCCAGUCUCUCAGGACCCAAAGUGGACAUAAAAAAAAAAAAAAAAAAAAAUCAACGCCAUCCUCAAAAAGGCCCAGCAGAGCAUAGGGCAUCUACCCUACUUCCCUUGAGAACUUCCAGACUGCCAGAACUAAGACAAGACCAUGCAAAAUCCUCUUGGACUCUCCAUAUCCAGCUCCUUCCCUCAGAGAGGCGCGAUUGAACAAUGCAAACUAAAACCAGC